Molecule: ribosomal RNA, 731 nt
Filed under: uncultured bacterium
Lineage: Bacteria
Description: bacterial SSU rRNA
Rfam family: Bacterial small subunit ribosomal RNA
Source: RNAcentral
GCCCUUAUUAGAUACCCUGGUAGUCCACGCCGUAAACGAUGAUUACUAGGUGUCGGUGGGUAUGGACCCACCGGUGCCGCAGCAAACGCAGUAAGUAAUCCACCUGGGGAGUACGUUCGCAAGAAUGAAACUCAAAGGAAUUGACGGGGACCCGCACAAGCGGUGGAGCAUGUGGUUUAAUCCGAAGCAACGCGAAGAACCUUACCAAGUCUUGACAUCCCAUCGAAUAAAGGGUAAUGCCUUUAGUCCUUCGGGACGAUGGAGACAGGUGGUGCGUGGUUGUCGUCAGCUCGUGUCGUGAGAUGUUGGGUUAAGUCCCGCAACGAGCGCAACCCUUAUUCCCAGUAGCCAGCAAGUGAGGUUGGGCACUCUGGGGAGACUGCCGGGGACAACCCGGAGGAAGGUGGGGAUGACGUCAAAUCAUCAUGCCCCUUAUGAUUUGGGCUACACACGUGCUACAAUGGCGUAAACAGAGGGAGGCGAGCCCGCGAGGGGGAGCAAAUCCCAAAAAUAACGUCCCAGUUCGGAUUGUAGUCUGCAACCCGACUACAUGAAGCUGGAAUCGCUAGUAAUCGCGAAUCAGAAUGCCGCGGUGAAUACGUUCCCGGGUCUUGUACACACCGCCCGUCACACCAUGGGAGUCGGGAAUGCCCGAAGUCAGUGACCCAACCGGAAGGAGGGAGCUGCCGAAGGCAGGCUCGAUAACUGGGGUGAAGUCGUAACAAGGUACC